UCCUGUUGUAACGCAAGCAAGACUGUUUAGUUCACGUCUCCCCCAAACAUACAAGGAAAGAAAAAGUAAUAUGUGGAAUCACUUGAGGGCCGGGUCAGCGCUGAAGUUUCCACAAGUAUAUUUUCACAGGAGAGCACAAGAUCCAUAUGACCGUCUAUUUUCUGCCAACACAGCAACAUGAAAAUCCAUCAUCUGCAACUCAUGAUCGCCCUGGAAUCGGAAAAUCAAUUCUCUAAAAGACCCCUCCUUAAUCCCGUUUUUCGCUGGCCACAAAGGCCACUUGUGUGCGACCCCGCUGGACUAUGGACUGGGAUGAUGUGGAUGUCUGCUUGGAUUCCAAGCCUUUCAGAGAGUCCGUGGAUCAAAACCUCCGUUUGACUGCUGGGAAAACAGAAGCCAAACAUCCAAACAGCUACCAACAAACCCCCAGGCCCUCGUGGUGCAUCUUGUUCAUGUUUCAGGUAGAAUUUUAGAUGUCCUCGUGCCUGUUUGCUUCAUGUUGGAUGAGAGCGUUCUCCACCUGUCACGUACGGCCUUUGGACAGGCCCUGACAUCUGCUGAUCUUUAUAUUGAAUUCAUACAUCAAAACAUGCUCCGGCUCUGCGACCGCUCAACUUCAUCAGUCGGCUUUGAUGGAGCAUUUCUAGCGUUCUCUAAAGACUAAGAGCUGGCAAAAAAAACAUCAUCACAGCACCGAUCUCCCCUAAUUACAGUCAGUUAUAUCUUUAAAAGAAAAAGCAAAAUAAACCUGAUCAAGAAGACAAAGGAGUAAGUCUGUGGAGGAGGUUUCAUUACCCUUCCCUCUCUUUACCUUUCUCUGUGUUUUUCACUGAAAGGGAACAAAGACGGAACCCUACCGAUUGAAAACUAGCAGAACAGUGAAACAACAGGACACAACUGAUCACUCAUGCAUGGUUGGGAUUAGGAUAAAAGUAUAAAGAGUGUGGAGAAGAAAGAGCACAACAAAAGGAACAGGGGACUGACUAACUUUUUUCUCUUUCUUUUGAGGUGAAAGGAAUCAAAAAAAGGAAGGUCUGGCCAUAUGAAAAGAUAGAGAAAGAAAGAUUAACAAAUAGAAGCAGUCCUUUUUAGCCUCGGUACGCUUCCACUUCUAUUUCUUUUAACCAUGAACAUGAAAGGCGGGACUGAGGUUGUUGCUACCAGAACUCUUCAUCUCAAGACAUCAUUUUUAACUUUAGAGACUUGCAUUGGUGCAGAGCAACCUCCAUGGGAAUUUUGUCAUGGCACAAGCACCGUUUAUUGUGAUUCCGGUUGACCAACUGGCUUGUGAAGUCUGAAGAAUGACACACCAGCUAACAAGACAGCCAUCCUUUCAGCCCCCGCCUGUACUAAGUGGAAAUAAUCCAGAAAUACUUUGCACAUCUAGUCUGCCUUGGCCUUCAUCCAAAUUGCACUCUAUUCUUUUUAAUCUCCCUUAAUAAAAAGAGGGGAUAAGAGAGAGAUU
This 1465-nucleotide long non-coding RNA is filed under the name Danio rerio (zebrafish). RNAcentral describes it as "si:ch211-69b22.4 (ENSDARG00000099086.3)". The record is from RNAcentral. Lineage: Eukaryota; Metazoa; Chordata; Actinopteri; Cypriniformes; Danionidae.